GACAAAGGCUCUCAUGUACAACUAGAUAUAAUGAGAUGAACUUUUUUGUGUUUUUGUAGCUGUGCAUUUUACCUUUUAAGUAUACCUUUAUUGAUUUCAUUGAAAUAAUCACUUAUCAGUUUAUUUCACUGAAUCACAAAUCCAGUUUUCAAGUUUAUCUUGAAACUCAUUAGUAUAUUAGUAGAUUUUAUUAAUUAAGUAAACUUCUACACUGAUAUUUUACACUCUUAAA
RNAcentral lists this long non-coding RNA (232 nucleotides) under Bos taurus (domestic cattle). Its description in RNAcentral is "long non-coding RNA NONBTAT009345". The record is from RNAcentral. Lineage: Eukaryota; Metazoa; Chordata; Mammalia; Artiodactyla; Bovidae.